AGGAUGAACGCUAGCGGCAGGCCUAAUACAUGCAAGUCGAACGGUCAGUAGCAAUACUGAUAGUGGCGCACGGGUGCGUAACACGUAACUAACCUACCUAUACCUGGGGGGAUAGCCCGCCGAAAGGCGGAUUAAUACCGCAUAAGGCUUGAGACUGGCAUCAGUUUUUAGUAAAGAUUUAUUGGUAUAGAUGGGGUUGCGGGUCAUUAGCUAGUUGGUAAGGUAACGGCUUACCAAGGCGACGAUGACUA
Molecule: ribosomal RNA, 251 nt
Filed under: uncultured bacterium
Lineage: Bacteria
Description: partial small subunit ribosomal RNA
Rfam family: Bacterial small subunit ribosomal RNA
Source: RNAcentral